CCUAGGGGAGGCAGCAGUGGGGAAUAUUGGACAAUGGGCGAAAGCCUGAUCCAGCCAUGCCGCGUGUGUGAAGAAGGCCUUCGGGUUGUAAAGCACUUUCAGUGGGGAAGAAAGCCUUGGGGCUAAUACCCUCGAGGAAGGACAUCACCCACAGAAGAAGCACCGGCUAACUCCGUGCCAGCAGCCGCGGUAAUACGGAGGGUGCGAGCGUUAAUCGGAAUUACUGGGCGUAAAGCGCGCGUAGGCGGUCUGAUAAGCCGGUUGUGAAAGCCCCGGGCUCAACCUGGGAACGGCAUCCGGAACUGUCAGGCUAGAGUGCAGUAGAGGAAGGUAGAAUUCCCGGUGUAGCGGUGAAAUGCGUAGAGAUCGGGAGGAAUACCAGUGGCGAAGGCGGCCUUCUGGACUGACACUGACGCUGAGGUGCGAAAGCGUGGGUAGCAAACAGGAUUAGAUACCCUUGUAGUC
This 465-nucleotide ribosomal RNA is filed under the name Vreelandella stevensii. RNAcentral's name for it is "partial 16S ribosomal RNA". It matches the Rfam family "Bacterial small subunit ribosomal RNA", at positions 338 to 795 of the family's 1533-position model. The record is from RNAcentral. Lineage: Bacteria; Pseudomonadati; Pseudomonadota; Gammaproteobacteria; Oceanospirillales; Halomonadaceae.